Molecule: ribosomal RNA, 305 nt
Filed under: uncultured bacterium
Lineage: Bacteria
Description: bacterial SSU rRNA
Rfam family: Bacterial small subunit ribosomal RNA
Source: RNAcentral
UAGCCUACGGGGGGCAGCAGUGGGGAAUAUUGCACAAUGGGGGAAACCCUGAUGCAGCGACGCCGCGUGAGCGAAGAAGUAUUUCGGUAUGUAAAGCUCUAUCAGCAGGGAAGAAAAUGACGGUACCUGACUAAGAAGCCCCGGCUAACUACGUGCCAGCAGCCGCGGUAAUACGUAGGGGGGAAGCGUUAUCCGGAUUUACUGGGUGUAAAGGGAGCGUAGACGGCUUUGCAAGUCUGAAGUGAAAGACAAGGGCUCAACAUUGGGACUGCUUUGGAAACUGUAGAGUUUGAGUACCGGAGGGG